RNAcentral lists this ribosomal RNA (250 nucleotides) under uncultured bacterium. RNAcentral describes it as "partial 16S ribosomal RNA". It matches the Rfam family "Bacterial small subunit ribosomal RNA", at positions 524 to 773 of the family's 1533-position model. The record is from RNAcentral.
UACGUAGGUGGCAAGCGUUGUCCGGAUUUAUUGGGUUUAAAGGGUGCGUAGGCGGCUUAUUAAGUCAGUGGUGAAAUACUCUAGCUCAACUAGAGGGGUGCCAUUGAUACUGAUGAGCUUGAGUACAGAUGAGGUAGGCGGAAUUGACGGUGUAGCGGUGAAAUGCUUAGAUAUCGUCAAGAACACCUAUAGCGAAGGCAGCUUACUAGGCUGUAACUGACGCUGAGGCACGAAAGCGUGGGGAGCAAAC